GACGAACGCUGGCGGCGUGCUUAACACAUGCAAGUCGAACGGAAAGGCCCUGCUUUUGUGGGGUGCUCGAGUGGCGAACGGGUGAGUAACACGUGAGUAACCUGCCCUUGACUUUGGGAUAACUUCAGGAAACUGGGGCUAAUACCGGAUAGGAGCUCCUGCUGCAUGGUGGGGGUUGGAAAGUUUCGGCGGUUGGGGAUGGACUCGCGGCUUAUCAGCUUGUUGGUGGGGUAGUGGCUUACCAAGGCUUUGACGGGUAGCCGGCCUGAGAGGGUGACCGGCAACAUGGGGACGGAGAUACGGCCCAGACUCUACGGGAGGCAGCAGUGGGGAAUAUUGCACAAUGGGCGGAAGCCUGAUGCAGCAACGCCGCGUGCGGGAUGACGGCCUUCGGGUUGUAAACCGCUUUCGCCUGUGACGAAGCGUGAGUGACGGUAAUGGGUAAAGAAGCACCGGCUAACUACGUG
This 467-nucleotide ribosomal RNA is filed under the name uncultured bacterium. Its description in RNAcentral is "partial 16S ribosomal RNA". It matches the Rfam family "Bacterial small subunit ribosomal RNA", at positions 28 to 507 of the family's 1533-position model. The record is from RNAcentral.